GACGAACGCUGGCGGCGUGCCUAAUACAUGCAAGUUGAGCGCUGAAGGUUGGUACUUGUACCAACUGGAUGAGCAGCGAACGGGUGAGUAACGCGUGGGGAAUCUGCCUUUGAGCGGGGGACAACAUUUGGAAACGAAUGCUAAUACCGCAUAAAAACUUUAAACACAAGUUUUAAGUUUGAAAGAUGCAAUUGCAUCACUCAAAGAUGAUCCCGCGUUGUAUUAGCUAGUUGGUGAGGUAAAGGCUCACCAAGGCGAUGAUACAUAGCCGACCUGAGAGGGUGAUCGGCACAAUUGGGACUGAGACACGGCCCAAACUCCUACGGGAGGCAGCAGUAGGGAAUCUUCGGCAAUGGAAGAAAGUCUGACCGAGCAACGCCGUGUGAGUGAAGAAGGUUUUCGGAUCGUAAAACUCUGUUGGUAGAGAAGAACGUUGGUGAGAGUGGAAAGCUCAUCAAGUGACGGUAACUACCCAGAAAGGGACGGCUAACUACGUGCCAGCCGCCGCGGUAA
RNAcentral lists this ribosomal RNA (513 nucleotides) under uncultured bacterium. RNAcentral's name for it is "partial 16S ribosomal RNA". It matches the Rfam family "Bacterial small subunit ribosomal RNA", at positions 28 to 523 of the family's 1533-position model. The record is from RNAcentral.